This 1554-nucleotide ribosomal RNA is filed under the name Triticum aestivum (bread wheat). RNAcentral's name for it is "partial small subunit ribosomal RNA". Lineage: Eukaryota; Viridiplantae; Streptophyta; Magnoliopsida; Poales; Poaceae. The record is from RNAcentral.
AUGGCCAUGUGCUGCCGGUGGUUCCGGAAGUCCCAUCCCGCGGCCUCUGGCUCGUCCCGCCCCGACGGCGGGAGCUCCGGCGGGCCGUCCUCCGCGUCGCCCUCCACCGCGCCGCAGCACGUCAAGCCCCCCGCCCCGAUCGGCCCCGUCCUCGGCCGGCCCAUGGAGGACGUCAAGAGCAUCUACAACGUCGGCAAGGAGCUCGGGCGCGGGCAGUUCGGCGUCACGUCGCUGUGCACGCAGAAGGCGACGGGCCAGAAGCUGGCGUGCAAGACCAUCAGCAAGCGGAAGCUGUCCACCAAGGAGGACGUGGAGGACGUCCGGCGGGAGGUGCAGAUCAUGUACCACCUGGCGGGCCAGCCCGGGGUGGUGGAGCUCAAGGGCGCCUACGAGGACAAGCACGCGGUGCACCUGGUCAUGGAGCUCUGCGCCGGCGGCGAGCUCUUCGACCGGAUCAUCGCCAAGGGCCACUACACGGAGCGCGCCGCCGCGGCGCUCGUCCGCACCAUCAUGGGGAUCAUCCACACCUGCCACACCAUGGGCGUCAUCCACCGCGACCUCAAGCCCGAGAACUUCCUCCUCCUCAGCAAAGAAGAGAACGCGCCGCUCAAGGCCACCGACUUCGGCCUCUCCGUCUUCUUCAAGGAGGGGGAGGUCUUCCGGGACAUCGUCGGCAGCGCCUACUACAUCGCGCCGGAGGUGCUGAAGCGGAACUACGGGCCCCAGGCCGACAUCUGGAGCGUCGGCGUCAUGCUCUACAUCCUGCUCUGCGGCGUCCCGCCCUUCUGGGCGCAGUCGGAGCACGGCAUCUUCAACUCCAUCCUGAGAGGGCAGGUGGACUUCAACAGCGACCCGUGGCCGCGCAUCUCCGGCGGCGCCAAGGACCUCGUCAGGAAGAUGCUCACCUCCGACCCCAGGAGGAGGAUUUCCGCGCACGACGUCCUCAACCAUCCAUGGAUAAAAGAGGACGGCGAGGCGCCCGACACGCUGAUCGACAACGCCGUCCUUGGCAGGCUCAAGCAGUUCACAGCUAUGAACCAGUUCAAGAAGGCGGCGCUAAGGGUGAUCGCGGGGUGCUUGUCGGAGGAGGAGAUCAGGGGGCUGAAGGAGAUGUUCAAGAGCAUGGACUCGGACAACAGCGGCACCAUCACCGUGGACGAGCUGCGGAAGGGGCUGGCCAAGAAGGGCACCAAGCUCUCCGAAGCGGAGGUCCAGCAGCUGAUGGAGGCCGCGGACGCGGACGGGAACGGCAUGAUCGACUACGACGAGUUCAUCACGGCGACGAUGCACAUGAACAGGAUGGACCGGGAGGAGCACCUCUACACCGCCUUCCAGUACUUCGACAAGGACAACAGCGGGUACAUCACGAUCGAGGAGCUGGAGCAGGCCCUCAAGGAGAAAGGCCUGAUGGACGGCCGGGACAUCAAGGACAUCAUAUCGGAGGUCGACGCCGACCACGACGGGCGGAUCAACUACACGGAGUUCGUGGCGAUGAUGAGGAAGGGGGCCCCGGAGGCGGCCAACCCCAAGAAGCGCCGCGACGUCAUGCUGUAG